AGCCCACCCCAUACAUCAAUAGAUGCGAGCGGUUUCGUCUGAACGCCGACUAGCGAGCGGUGAUUGGCGGCGUGCUGGACGGCGACGUGCUCGGCGGAGAAUUCUCAUCGGAUGAUUCCCUCGCUCCCCUGUCCAUCUCUCCCCCGUCCUCUCGUGCGACUCGGAGACCGACAACGGCAGCGGUGAUGGAGCGUACAACGAUUUUGCGGCGGCGACCAAUCCCAAAUCCAUCCCACUGCUCAGUCGGAUAAGGCGCUUGCGACAACCAACAUUCACCGAACCAGAUUUUCCAUUUCCUCGACAGGCGGCUCCGGCACAGGAAUGAAAGUGCGCCCUAUGUUCAGAUUCCAGAAGCUAUGCCACGGCCGCCUACAAUUCCACCCAGGAUAGCUAAUUUGCAUGCAUGUUUGAUUUCUGAUCUCUUCCCAAUCUGUCCUGUUCAUUCAGUUUUAUACGGUCAUAGUUUAGCUAGGCUCCAUAUAUCCGUAGUUGCAAAACAAUUCUUGAGAUUUCCUUGGUAAAAUUUCUGGAAUAUUACAUAAUAUUGCCUGUGCCAUCAUAACCAUUUGUUUAUCCCCUAGUAUAAAAAUACCAAAGUGAGGUCUCUAUACAUACAUACGAGAAGCACCUCUUUAAUUGUAAUUUGCUGGUAGAAACAUCGACCCGUUAUUACUGGACAUGAAGUAGCUUUUACAAAUGCUAUAGGUAAUUGCGUGGAAAUUGAUCUGAGAAAUUGUUGUCGAGAUAGGUAAUUACAUACUUGAGAACAGUUGCUCUUUAAGAUUUCUUGAGCUUUAUUCCGGGUGCUCAAGUGAAGCAAUUGCUUCUCAUUGAAGGGUCUGUUUCUUUCUUGGACGGGUCAGGUUGUUCCUAUUUUCUCUUUUAUUCAGAUUGGAUUUGUAAAUCAGAAAGUGUGAUGCUCAACGAGAUUCAGGUCGCGCUAAGACAUCAACGAUCAGUGCCGACAAGCCUCCACUAUCUAUUGCAAAAAUGAAGAACCGUGUUGAUUGCUUAUCUUGAAUAUGAUUUUGGGCAAAUAGGACCUGACUAGCUUCUAAAUCUGCUGAACUGUACUGAUCAUAGUGUGAAACUAAUUUUGCUUUUGCUCUUCUAAAGGCCAUCUCACGUUGAUUCAUAAUUUGCCAGAGGAGAUGGCUCAGUUGGAAGUUAUGUUCAGUUUCUUGAUCCUUAUGCUAAUUCUCUGUCCAUUUGUAAGACAGCUGGUGAUGUUCAGAAUAAUAAGGGAAGUGCCUUGCACCUGAAUGUCAAAUGAAAAAGUAGAGUUGAAGGUUGUGAUCUGUAUCCUUGCCAUGGUUGCUCCUUGCUGAUACAGGCUUUUAUAUUUGAAUGCUCGCUACUCUCGCACAUAUAUAGAUUUUUCAUUAUAGAUGCAAAUUUGGAGCCGCUUAAAUUUGCUUGCCUGUCGUUUUACUUAGCAAUCUGCAAGAAAAAGAAGGACACCAUAGAUUGCUUGGCAAUAAAGAUCGACAUAAAUUAGCAAUUUGUGUGUAGCCUUAGAAGUCUAUAUAUUUAUUAAAUUCUGAAUUACUUGUGCUCGCGUCCUUAAUGUGAUGGUUGCUUUGCCUUAUGAUCAAAUUCUCAAUUGGUAAUGGUGACUACAUUAGACUGUUUAAGCAACUAAGCAACUCAAGUCCCCUUGUGACUACAAGUCAUGAGUGGCCGCUGCACUAUUCUUGUAUGUUCUUCUAUUUUCAAUGGAAGCAUUCAAUCAUAUUUGUUUUUUUCUCUCACAUCAGUUUAUAUACCUCUCCAUGGAUCAUUCAGGUGUAAAAAUAUGGAUUUUCACUUUCGACCUGCAGUAUUUGACGGUCUCUGUGUGGAGGGUUUCAGAACUUUCUCUAGGCGCAGACCUGAAUACUAGCAGUACACGCUUGCAGCUAGCAAAAAAUGCAAGAUGCAGGGUCGUGUUUUCUUUUUCCAAUGCAUGGUAUCUGUUCAGGUGGAUGACUGCUAAUUUAUGUGGGAUAGGAAUGUCUUCAUAUUUGUGGUGGGUACAAGUAAUAUUAAAUUGAAAUUUGAGGCCCUCUUUUCAUUACAA
Non-coding RNA from Aegilops tauschii subsp. strangulata, 2059 nucleotides. NCBI's taxonomy places the organism in Eukaryota, Viridiplantae, Streptophyta, Magnoliopsida, Poales, Poaceae. The record is from RefSeq and is a predicted model, not a curated record.